This 24-nucleotide non-coding RNA is filed under the name Arabidopsis thaliana (thale cress). Lineage: Eukaryota; Viridiplantae; Streptophyta; Magnoliopsida; Brassicales; Brassicaceae. The record is from RNAcentral.
CAUUGUUGUCCCAUUGCAUAGAAU